Molecule: long non-coding RNA, 1470 nt
Filed under: Brachypodium distachyon (stiff brome)
Lineage: Eukaryota; Viridiplantae; Streptophyta; Magnoliopsida; Poales; Poaceae
Description: long non-coding RNA (BDIS_LNC005594)
Source: RNAcentral
AGAAACACCGGGCUGCAGCGACGCCGGAAAACGGAUGCAGAAACUUGGAAGCUCAGAAAGUCCACCUUACAAACCGAAUUUGGGGGUCAAAGUGCAGGGCAACGCCCUGGAUAUUUCCUGAUGCGCCUCGUCCUGAGCUUUCCAAAAAGUCCAAGAACGUCCAAAUCCGAGUUGGUACGCAAAAGAUACGCCCGUUUUACUGAACACGGGUCAAACCCACCCGAAACUAAAAUUCUACUCGGACUCGGGUCCGAAACUGACUCGAACUCUUUUUUUUUUUUCGUUUUUUUUUCUUUCUUUCUUUCCUUUUUUUUUCUUUCCUUUCUUUUUUUUUUCAAAUUUCCAAACAACUUGAUCUCUAAACAAAAUUCGAUCUAUGAUGAAACACUUUCCAAAAGCACUCCUUAUUGGAUUCGGACUCGGAUUCGCGGCUGAAAACUAUAACUUGCCGACUCGGUGUAGGACUCGAAGAGGGACUCGGUGUAGGACUCGAUGAGGGACUCGGUGUAGGACUCCAAGAGGGACUCGGUGUAGGACUCGAAGAGGGACUCGGUGUAGGACUCGAUGAGGGACUCGGUGUAGGACUCAAAGAGGGACUCGGUGGAAGAUAUGGUGGCGGCGGAAGAUUAUGGCGGUGGUGUGGCAGGAAGUUUGGCGGCGGAAGAUUGAUGAAGGAAACCUGCGUCACACGAAGAACAAGAAAACCAAAAGCAAGUUCGAUCUAGUAGAAAAAAUCUGAAAAACGAUCCAAUCUAAUCCAGCAACUCGACACGAUUAAUGCAGCAAAGAUUCAACAAUGCAAAUACUAAUGUGAAAAUUGCAAAGCUCAGAUUGGUUCUAGGACAAGGUAACUAAUUCUAAUUUUUGUUUGGCUUUUUCUGGACGAUAGGUAAAAACAGAUCUAAACUAGGGAUAAACUGGAAAAAUCUCACCGAGCAACCUUAAGCUCUGAUACCACGUGAUACGGGUGCGGGUGGCCCGAUCUUUCGAUGAGAUUGAUAACUCUCGAUUUGGGUAGGAGGUGACGUUGACGAUCCGACUACGGCCUAGCAGGCAGUGCCUUAGCAAUCGAUACACCAACUCCAGAGGGUUAUUGAUCACGCGGGGGCACGAUCAACCUGACCACGAAGGUCUUUGUUCCUGCAAGCAAUCGAAGAACAAGCAAGAACAAGAUAAAUAGCGGAUGCAAUCUAAAAUUGCGAAUAUACUAUAUCAAACCAAUGUCUCAACGAGACGAUAAGUUGGGGUUCUGAAAGCGGUAAAACAGGUGGUCUAACCAACACACGCGAUUACACGAAGUAGUAGCGAUGGCUAACUUUUAACUAAACAAAACCCAAGGCUUCUUAGGGGGGGCUCAUGGGGUAUAUAAAGGAGGAGGGAGAGAUAUUUUCGUCCACCUUGAAUAAGGAGUCCGAAAUCCAACUCUAUCUCUAACUUUCCUAACAAACUACAACUCUUUAGGAAACAGAA